This 450-nucleotide ribosomal RNA is filed under the name uncultured bacterium. Its description in RNAcentral is "bacterial SSU rRNA". It matches the Rfam family "Bacterial small subunit ribosomal RNA", at positions 354 to 796 of the family's 1533-position model. The record is from RNAcentral.
GUGGGGAAUAUUGGACAAUGGGCGAAAGCCUGAUCCAGCCAUGCCGCGUGUGUGAAGAAGGUCUUCGGAUUGUAAAGCACUUUAAGUUGGGAGGAAGGGCAGUAAGUUAAUACCUUGCUGUUUUGACGUUACCGACAGAAUAAGCACCGGCUAACUUCGUGCCAGCAGCCGCGGUAAUACGAAGGGUGCAAGCGUUAAUCGGAAUUACUGGGCGUAAAGCGCGCGUAGGUGGUUUUGUAAGUUGGAGGUGAAAUCCCCGGGCUCAACCUGGGAACUGCCUCCAAAACUGCAUGACUAGAGUACGGUAGAUGGUAGUGGAAUUUCCUGUGUAGCGGUGAAAUGCGUAGAUAUAGGAAGGAACACCAGUGGCGAAGGCGACUACCUGGACUGAUACUGACACUGAGGUGCGAAAGCGUGGGGAGCAAACAGGAUUAGAAACCCGGGUAGUCC